AUUGAACGCUGGCGGCAGGCCUAACACAUGCAAGUCGAGCGGAUGAGGGGAGCUUGCUCCUGGAUUCAGCGGCGGACGGGUGAGUAAUGCCUAGGAAUCUGCCUGGUAGUGGGGGAUAACGUCCGGAAACGGGCGCUAAUACCGCAUACGUCCUGAGGGAGAAAGUGGGGGAUCUUCGGACCUCACGCUAUCAGAUGAGCCUAGGUCGGAUUAGCUAGUUGGUGGGGUAAAGGCCUACCAAGGCGACGAUCCGUAACUGGUCUGAGAGGAUGAUCAGUCACACUGGAACUGAGACACGGUCCAGACUCCUACGGGAGGCAGCAGUGGGGAAUAUUGGACAAUGGGCGAAAGCCUGAUCCAGCCAUGCCGCGUGUGUGAAGAAGGUCUUCGGAUUGUAAAGCACUUUAAGUUGGGAGGAAGGGCAGUAAGUUAAUACCUUGCUGUUUUGACGUUACCAACAGAAUAAGCACCGGCUAACUUCGCG
RNAcentral lists this ribosomal RNA (484 nucleotides) under uncultured bacterium. RNAcentral's name for it is "partial 16S ribosomal RNA". It matches the Rfam family "Bacterial small subunit ribosomal RNA", at positions 30 to 507 of the family's 1533-position model. The record is from RNAcentral.